Long non-coding RNA from Daktulosphaira vitifoliae (grape phylloxera), 524 nucleotides. RefSeq lists it as uncharacterized. NCBI's taxonomy places the organism in Eukaryota, Metazoa, Arthropoda, Insecta, Hemiptera, Phylloxeridae. The transcript has 3 exons. The record is from RefSeq and is a predicted model, not a curated record.
UGGACAUUGUUCGAUAGCGUUAAGAACACAUUUGAUUAGCCCAUCACACAAAAUAGCAGCGUUGCAAUAAAUAUUAGAGUUGACUUUAGCCAUUUAAAGUAGUAGCAAGGCUAUUCAAAUGACUAGUCGCGGCAACAAUAAUAUCCAAGGUUUAAGCUCCAAAAAAUGAUUAACAAUUAUAUUUGGAUAACGAAAUUCUUUCAAUGGCCGUAACCUUGGCUUAUCCGUUUCUCGACAGAUAAGAAUCAACUGUGUACUGUUGAACAUUACUCGCUGAAUGAAUGCUGUUCACGUCCAUUAUACAUUUACACGGAUGAAUAAUCAUUAACUCAGAACAUCCACCGGACAAACGAAGAAAAUGUAUUUUUGGUAAAAAAUAUAAUUCACUUUAAAAUUAUCCUAAAAUUAUCCUAAAAAUAUUUUUAUCUUUAUUUAUCGAGUAGGUUGGGUUAAACUGCAAUAUAAAAAACAGUUGUUCUAUAGUGGUUAUUAUUUUUAAACAAGUUAAAAAACAAUUUAAUUAU